Molecule: long non-coding RNA, 1025 nt
Filed under: Sander lucioperca (pikeperch)
Lineage: Eukaryota; Metazoa; Chordata; Actinopteri; Perciformes; Percidae
Description: lncRNA (ENSSLUG00000009469.1)
Source: RNAcentral
CGGUCUUCACCGGAUGUUGCCAAGAAACAUUGAAGCGCCUGUGAAGUACAGAAUCGAGCCCAGCAAAAUGUGUUCAUACCACUCUGUUUGCAAGGUGUUGGUGCAAACGUCCGUGUGAAAAUAGUUGUCUGCAAUCUACUUAUAUUCUCCGUUGAUAUCGAGAGAAGCCCCGGUCUAGGUUUUCUUGCUGUGCCUUACCAAAUUGUGGACCAUGAUGGAGCGAAGAAGAGCCUUAACUAUUCCAUUUAAUGUUGACAAGAAUAACUUGAUGGAUAACCCACUCAAAAUCUCCGUUCCAUGUCUUUCAUCAAAGUAUGGGAAAUUAGAAAGACAGGUACAGCAAUAUUUUUGCUCUCUGUCCAUGGCUAUUUUGGAUUAUUCUUGAGGCUCACACCGUUUCCUUGGCUUACCAGGUUUCCUGGACUACAUUUGCAGAUUGCAAACGCAGACAUCGUGAUUCACAGCAUAAAAAUGGUUCCAUGCUGUUUGAUCACAAGCAUGCAACAUUGGAAAUGGCCAGUGGCCCCCUGUCAACACCCAGAGGCAGCUUCUUCUUCUCCCAGAAAACUUCUGCUCUAACUCUGUUCUUUUAAAUCAGGGCUUAAAACUUUUCUGUUUGUCACUACAUUUUAUUGUUUUAUUUAUUUAUACAUUUGUUUUAAUCAUAUGUUGUAUUGCAACUUUUAUUCCAAUGUUUGAUAUGCCUACUUUUGUUUAGCUUAUUAUUAUUUUAUUAUUAUUAUUGGCAAGUUAACAGUGAAGAUGCAGUCUGGAAAUGUGAGGGAACGAGAGGGGUAUGACAGACAUGCAAAGGUCCAUUGCGGUAAUGUGGUAUUUUAACCAUUUGGCUACAGAGUCUUUUCCUUCUGUCUUUCUGUCUUAUGUAAAGCACUUUGAAUUGCCUUGGCUUGUUGUUGAUGAAAGGUGCUAUACAAAUGCCCUUUCCUGUGUAGUAGGCCUGGGCGAAAAAUCGAUUGAAUGAAUUAAUUCGAGUUUUUUGUCGCGGGCGAUUUAAAAAAUAAGUA